CCUACGGUGGACAGCAGUGAGGAAUAUUGGUCAAUGGACGAGAGUCUGAACCAGCCAAGUAGCGUGAAGGAUGACUGCCCUAUGGGUUGUACACUUCUUUUAUAUGGGAAUAAAAUGUUCCACGUGUGGGAUUUUGUAUGUACCAUAUGAAUAAGGAUCGGCUAACUCCGUGCCAGCAGCCGCGGUAAUACGGAGGAUCCGAGCAUUAUCCGGAUUUAUUGGGUUUAAAGGGAGCGUAGGUGGAUUGUUAAGUCAGUUGUGAAAGUUUGCGGUUCAACCGUAAAAUUGCAGUUGAAACUGGCAGUCUUGAGUACAGUAGAGGUGGGCGGAAUUCGUGGUGUAGCGGUGAAAUGCUUAGAUAUCACGAAGAACUCCGAUUGCGAAGGCAGCUCACUGGACUGCAACUGACACUGAGGCUCGAAAGUGUGGGUAUCAAACAGGAUUAGAUACCCCAGUAGUC
This 460-nucleotide ribosomal RNA is filed under the name uncultured bacterium. Its description in RNAcentral is "partial 16S ribosomal RNA". It matches the Rfam family "Bacterial small subunit ribosomal RNA", at positions 338 to 795 of the family's 1533-position model. The record is from RNAcentral.